GAAAAGAACCCCGGGAGGGGAGUGAAAUAGAACCUGAAACCCUGCACUUACAAGCUGUGGAAGCACAUUUCUUGUGUGACCGCGUACUUUUUGUAGAACGGGCCAACGAGUUACGUUAAGUAGCAAGGUUAAGCACUUAAGGUGUGGAGCCGUAGCGAAAGCGAGUUUUAACUGAGCGUUCAGUUACUUGACGUAGACCCGAAACCGGGCGACCUACCCAUGAGCAGGAUGAAGCGAAAGUAAAAUUUCGUGGAGGUCCGAACCCACGAGCGUUGAAAAGCUCGGGGAUGACUUGUGGGUAGCGGUGAAAUUCCAAUCGAGCCCGGAGAUAGCUGGUUCUCCCCGAAAUAGCUUUAGGGCUAGCCUCAAGGUGAG
Molecule: ribosomal RNA, 375 nt
Filed under: Clostridioides difficile
Lineage: Bacteria; Bacillati; Bacillota; Clostridia; Peptostreptococcales; Peptostreptococcaceae
Description: partial 23S ribosomal RNA
Rfam family: Bacterial large subunit ribosomal RNA
Source: RNAcentral